Molecule: ribosomal RNA, 253 nt
Filed under: uncultured bacterium
Lineage: Bacteria
Description: partial 16S ribosomal RNA
Rfam family: Bacterial small subunit ribosomal RNA
Source: RNAcentral
UACGUAGGUGGCAAGCGUUAUCCGGAAUUAUUGGGCGUAAAGCGCGCGCAGGCGGUCCUUUAAGUCUGAUGUGAAAGCCCACGGCUCAACCGUGGAGGGUCAUUGGAAACUGGGGGACUUGAGUACAGAAGAGAAGAGUGGAAUUCCACGUGUAGCGGUGAAAUGCGUAGAGAUGUGGAGGAACACCAGUGGCGAAGGCGACUCUUUGGUCUGUAACUGACGCUGAGGCGCGAAAGCGUGGGGAGCAAACAGG